This 497-nucleotide ribosomal RNA is filed under the name uncultured bacterium. RNAcentral's name for it is "partial 16S ribosomal RNA". It matches the Rfam family "Bacterial small subunit ribosomal RNA", at positions 28 to 507 of the family's 1533-position model. The record is from RNAcentral.
GAUGAACGCUGGCGGCGUGCCUAAUACAUGCAAGUCGAGCGAACAGACGAGGAGCUUGCGCCGCGGACGUUAGCCGCGGACGGGUGAGUAACACGUGUAUAACCUACCUAUAAGACUGGUAUAACUUCGGGAAACCGGAGCUAAUACCGGAUAAGAUCUUGAACCGCAGGGUUCAAUAGUGAGAGACGGUGUUUCGGGCUCGUAUAGAUGGAUCCCGGCCGCAUGAGAUGGUUGUGAAGGUAACGGGUUACCAAGGCAACGAUGCGUAGGCGAACUGAUAGGCUGAUCGCCCACACUGGAACUGAGACACGGUCCAGACUCCUACGGGACGCACCAGUAGGGAACGUGACGCAACGGGCGAAAGCCUGACGGAGCAACGCGGAGUGAGAGAUGAAGGUCUUCGGAUCGUAAAACUCCGUUAUUAGGGAAGAACCAAUGUGUCAGUAACCAUGCCCGUAUUGACGGUACCUAAUCAGAAAGCCCCGGCUAACUACGUG